This is a long non-coding RNA of Papaver somniferum (opium poppy), 1415 nucleotides long. RefSeq lists it as uncharacterized. NCBI's taxonomy places the organism in Eukaryota, Viridiplantae, Streptophyta, Magnoliopsida, Ranunculales, Papaveraceae. The record is from RefSeq and is a predicted model, not a curated record. The transcript is spliced from 4 exons.
UCAAAAAUUGAAUCUUAUCAGCCUACCAUUACUUCAACAAACAACAUUAAAAAAAUGAAACUUUUAAAUCAUGUAACCUUUAGUGCAAAUGACAUGUCAAAGGGUUUUGCAGAUUUUGCAUCUGGCUUGCCAGUUCCAAUGUACUCCAAGGAGUCUAGCACCAAGGAUGUCACAUGGAUGAAGUCCCUUGAAGAACUUGAAAGCUGAUUGAGCAUUUGAAUGCAUUUUACUCUCAGAGGCAAGUGUCGUGGCCCAGAAAAAAGAUGAGCCACUCCAUUAAUAAUUUGAACAAUUAAGUACACCAACAGUUGAAGGUAUUAUCUUCCACGUUUGUGCAGACAUACUUCACCCAUAAAUCCACACAGUUGAUGUAUUGCCAGCUAUAUAUCUUCUCCAUCGUUUCCUUAAAAGAACUCCGGUUGAAACAACUGACCAUCAAAAUUUCAAACAAAAAAUAUAAUAGAAAAGAAUGAAUCGUCUGUAAUCCCGCCAUAACAGUAUUGCUGGUGCACGAGUUAACAACAAUAAACAGAUGGUUCAAGGAAAAUUUCUAACCUAAAAAAUAUUAUAAGCUGUCUUAGCUCAUGGAAAAAAAAUGGAAGAGCAUCUACCUUUUCUCUUGUGUGUUUGUGGAAAUGCCUAAGAGAAAAUUAAGUUAUCUACUAAAGAGCUUGUAAUUGUUUGGAUAGUAUCGUUACAACUAAAUGGGUCACUGUUUCUGUAUUGCUCAAAUUAAAGAAAGAUCGGAGAGUAACUGGUGUUCAAAUUGGCAUGAUUAGCUGCAGAAGAAGAAGAAGAAGAAGUUGAUUAGAUGAUGAAAUAUGAUGAGUAACAUUGGAAUUUGUAAGCCGGAUAAGAAACAGCAAAAGGACAAACGCCUGACCUUGACGAUGGAUGAUCUCUCUAAGUCACUACGUGAGGAGCGACCUUCCAGCACAGACUCUUCCCCGAUUUCAGCAUUCCUCCAAUGGGCUGGCUUAAAGAAGCCGAUUGAGAGGAACUAUUGACAGCUGGAGUAACCACUACUAAAUGUGCACGCCCAGGACUACUGCUUCUCGUAGGACAACUUAGACCAGGACAAUCUGAAGCCAUCUUGCCAGCAACCAAUGUCUCUUUUGUUGAGCUCACCAUGUAGGGUGCAGAGCUGACAUGAUUUGGUAAUUCUGUGCUUCCCCAUCCCCAUUCCUAUCAUGAAGUUCCCCUGAAGGAGAUGGAUUUGAUAUAUGACACGUUUAUAUCAACUACGGAGUGAAUAUGAAGCACCAGGAGUAUUUUGCUGACUGCCCCUCUACUGGGACAGAAUCUACUUCGAGGGAGGAAUGAGCUUGGCAUCGGGCGAUCCAAGGCCGGCCCUGACAUAAAGGGGCCAAAGUUUAACUUUGGGCAACAUAUUUUUAGGGGAAUCAUUUUUUAUU